This is a long non-coding RNA of Homo sapiens (human), 474 nucleotides long. Ensembl annotates it as FRMD4A antisense RNA 1. Its record names the gene FRMD4A-AS1. Lineage: Eukaryota; Metazoa; Chordata; Mammalia; Primates; Hominidae. The record is from Ensembl.
CGAGCCAAGGCAAACGCCGACAGAAGAGAACGAUAAAUCCGCGGCGCACUCGGCAGAACGUACACCGCACCGCAUAAUUUAGCGGGGCAAUGCCGCCGGGAGUCCACGCCAAGUUAAUGGAAUAUUUCCUUAGGUUGGUGUAUGUCAUCCCAUUUUGCAGAGGAGAAAUUGAUGAAAGCUACCUGGCUAGUCACUGCAGAGGCUUGGCUGGGAUGCUAAGACCCACUGCCUUGGUUACCAGGCUGCAGCCUGCAGGUUGCCCAUCCAAUGUGCGAACUCCAGCGGGGGCAGGAAAGCCCCCGAAGAAUGGUGCUGUUUGCUUUCUGGUCUUAAUAAAUCUCAUGCUGGGAGAAUCCUGUUUUAGUGAUUAGCAUCAGUAUAUCCAGUCCUCGGAAACAAAAAUAUUUCCAGGUCCCAGAAGAGGGUCCAGAGUAACACAGCUUUACUGAUCUGGUUUCAAUAAAUCUUGUUAAC